This 682-nucleotide ribosomal RNA is filed under the name Enterobacter cloacae subsp. dissolvens. RNAcentral's name for it is "bacterial SSU rRNA". It matches the Rfam family "Bacterial small subunit ribosomal RNA", at positions 69 to 742 of the family's 1533-position model. Lineage: Bacteria; Pseudomonadati; Pseudomonadota; Gammaproteobacteria; Enterobacterales; Enterobacteriaceae. The record is from RNAcentral.
GUAGCACAGAGAGCUUGCUCUCGGGUGACGAGUGGCGGACGGGUGAGUAAUGUCUGGGAAACUGCCUGAUGGAGGGGGAUAACUACUGGAAACGGUAGCUAAUACCGCAUAACGUCGCAAGACCAAAGAGGGGGACCUUCGGGCCUCUUGCCAUCAGAUGUGCCCAGAUGGGAUUAGCUAGUAGGUGGGGUAACGGCUCACCUAGGCGACGAUCCCUAGCUGGUCUGAGAGGAUGACCAGCCACACUGGAACUGAGACACGGUCCAGACUCCUACGGGAGGCAGCAGUGGGGAAUAUUGCACAAUGGGCGCAAGCCUGAUGCAGCCAUGCCGCGUGUAUGAAGAAGGCCUUCGGGUUGUAAAGUACUUUCAGCGGGGAGGAAGGUGUUGUGGUUAAUAACCACAGCAAUUGACGUUACCCGCAGAAGAAGCACCGGCUAACUCCGUGCCAGCAGCCGCGGUAAUACGGAGGGUGCAAGCGUUAAUCGGAAUUACUGGGCGUAAAGCGCACGCAGGCGGUCUGUCAAGUCGGAUGUGAAAUCCCCGGGCUCAACCUGGGAACUGCAUUCGAAACUGGCAGGCUAGAGUCUUGUAGAGGGGGGUAGAAUUCCAGGUGUAGCGGUGAAAUGCGUAGAGAUCUGGAGGAAUACCGGUGGCGAAGGCGGCCCCCUGGACAAAGACUG